Long non-coding RNA from Gasterosteus aculeatus aculeatus (three-spined stickleback), 1466 nucleotides. The record is from Ensembl. NCBI's taxonomy places the organism in Eukaryota, Metazoa, Chordata, Actinopteri, Perciformes, Gasterosteidae.
AGCUGACUUGUUAGGCUCUGGGGGUCUUUUGCGACACGUUGCCUUUCUGGAUCACUUGUGCCAUAUGGAACCUCCCCUCGUGGCACAUAACUCACUUUUAUGAGGGCUUCAUUGGCUAAUGAUGGAACAGUGCACGAGCACUGAGCACGGAGGUGUUGUCCCCACGACUGUCGCUCCCUCCGCCGUCGCUGCCGCUGUCACUCUGAUCCCUGCUGAGAACUCUACCGCUGGCUUCAGAGGCUCCUGAACUCCGUUACCUGAUGUUUGAGUGAUGCCGGUGUCGGCAAUAUUUCUUCGCCUUUUUCCCGACAGACACCUUCAUCAUCGUGAAAACUCCAGUUAACCCACCAGGAGGAGAAAGCAAAGAGGGAUGUUUUUCUGCUCCAUCUCUGUGGCAACAGCAACUUAUCGAGCAGAGGAAACAUGAAUGCUGGAGGGAAUGUCAACUGGAAAAGAAGAAGAAGAAUGACGACUCAGGGGUCAUGAAUUGUACAAAGGGUGUUAGAAGCUUUGCUGCACUUAACAUCAUUAAGGCCUUUAUUAAUUACUGUUAUGAAGCAUUGUAAAUCACUUUCUUCAUUAGACUUAACACAGCCUUUUCACAAGUGACUCAUGGCCUGCUGGAAACAACACACUAAUCAACAUGGAACAGUAUUCUCAAUUAACAACAAAACCUCAAUAUCAACUCCAUGGAUGUACACCGUAGAAUACAUAGAUACAUGUUAAGCGUUUUAGUGUUGAAAGUGUUACUUGAGUAUAUCUUUUCCCAGGUAUGUCUUUUUUCCAAGGAAACAUUUCUGUUUUGUUUCACGCAGCAUUUCCACAAACACCUGUACCUGAUUACAACUAGAUAAUGACAUCACAUGGUGUGGGUUUAAACCAUAUCAACGCAAUGUUACCACCCUGCCUUUUGUGACAUGUCUGAUGUACUAUUACCACAACUGUGGUUCAUUGAUACAUAGCCCUUUACAAACUAUUUAUCCCAGAAGUACUAUUUUGGAUGAAACUAAGACUCUAUAUGAUUUCACUUAAUCUCAUAAUAAUGUUUUCUAAACAGAAGCACAUAUGUUGCUGGGUUGUGUAGCUCAAUGGAAACAAUACAAAACUUUGACCACUGACAAUGUCAGCGGUCACGGUGGUCGGGGCCCUGACCAGCAGUGGUAAAUGUUGGGUUUUAGGAUGUGAGCCAGUUGAAAUCUUCCCCUACUGUGAAAUAGUACAUUGGUUUGAGUUGAAUAGUGCAUUGCUUUGAAUUUCGACAUUCAAGCCUAUCAAGCCCAAUGGCUCAAAGAACACAGUAGGUCAGGUGCAAUCCAUUGGUGGAAUUCAGAUGUUUAGAGGUUACUCCUCUUUAUCAUUAUGACUUCCUCAAGUCUAACAAAGAAACAUGCUGUCACAUGGGUUGUAUACCACUUGUAUUAAGUGAUGGAUGAAGUCCAUAUUUAUUUUUUGAUUUUUGUUUUUGU